RNAcentral lists this ribosomal RNA (891 nucleotides) under uncultured bacterium. RNAcentral describes it as "bacterial SSU rRNA". It matches the Rfam family "Bacterial small subunit ribosomal RNA", at positions 8 to 916 of the family's 1533-position model. The record is from RNAcentral.
AGAGUUUGAUCCUGGCUCAGGAUGAACGCUGGCGGCGUGCUUAAUACAUGCAAGUCGAACGGAGACAGUAGCAAUAUUGUCUUAGUGGCGAACGGGUGAGUAACGCGUUGGUGACCUGCCCCGAAGAGGGGGAUAACAGUCCGAAAGGAUUGCUAAUACCCCAUGUGGUCAUUUGGAUUAGAUGCCUUAUGACUAAACGGAUUUAUUCGCUUCGGGAGGGGCCUGCGUCCCAUCAGCUAGUUGGUAAGGUAAUGGCUUACCAAGGCGAUGACGGGUAGGGGACCUGAGAGGGUGGCCCCCCACAAUGGAACUGAAGCACGGUCCAUACACCUACGGGUGGCAGCAGUAGGGAAUAUUGGUAAUGUGCGAAAGCGCGAACCAGCAACGCCGCGUGCGCGAUGAAGGCCUUCGGGUUGUAAAGCGCUUUUUAUGGGGAUGAGGAAGGACAGUACUCAUAGAAUAAGCCUCGGCUAACUACGUGCCAGCAGCCGCGGUAAAACGUAGGAGGCGAGCGUUAUCCGGAUUUACUGGGCGUAAAGCGUGUGUAGGCGGUUUGAUAAGUUGGAUGUGAAAGCUCCUGGCUUAACUGGGAGAGGUCGUUCAAAACUAUCAGACUUGAGAGUGGUAGAGGGAGGUGGAAUUCCGGGUGUAGUGGUGAAAUGCGUAGAUAUCCGGAGGAACACCAGUGGCGAAAGCGGCCUCCUGGCCCAUUUCUGACGCUCAGACACGAAAGCUAAGGUAGCAAACGGGAUUAGAGACCCCGGUAGUCUUAGCUGUAAACGAUGUGAACUUAGUGUCGGUGGUGUUAAAUCCAUCGGUACUGAAGCUAACGCGAUAAGUUCACCGCCUGGGGACUACGGCCGCAAGGUUAAAACUCAAAGGAAUUGACGG